CUCAGGAAGUCCAACCUCCGACUGACAGGAACCAUCAGAAUCUCACCUUCAAGUCACCUGCAGCUACAAAUCCCUCCAGAGUUUCCAGCAGUUCUCUUCUGUUGAAAGUCGCCAAUGAAACCUUGAUCUGCUCCACAAACCUGAUCUACCAUCCAGACCCAGAGUUCACCAGCUUCACAUCCACACAGAGGGGUGACCACGUCCAGAUCACCAUACAGAGAAAAGCAGACAAACUGGAGAUAACCCCAGCGGAGUUGUCAGUAUGGGGGGAGCAGGAGGAGAAACGAUACCCCUGCAUCAUGGAAGACAAAGACCCCGGUGAAGAGUUCAACUUUUACUCUUGUGAGAUUCAGAGCCCACCCAGCGCACAGUUCCAGACGUUAAUGAUUAAAUACGGUGACACGACAGUGUUACUUGCUCCUCCAAUGUUAAUGCCUCCAGUCAUUGUCAUCCUGCGCUUCAUGCUGAUCCCCUGUGUUAUUGCUG
Salarias fasciatus (jewelled blenny) is the source of this 486-nucleotide long non-coding RNA. RefSeq lists it as uncharacterized. NCBI's taxonomy places the organism in Eukaryota, Metazoa, Chordata, Actinopteri, Blenniiformes, Blenniidae. The record is from RefSeq and is a predicted model, not a curated record. The transcript is spliced from 4 exons.